AACUUUCAACUCGAGUCAAAAGCUCGAUUUUUUUUUCUUUUUUUUAAACAUAGGCAGCAGCGUGCUGCCUUAUUUCAGUAAAUAAGGCAGCAACCUUAUUUGAGGCAGCAGGUUGUUGCCUUUAAUUAAUUUUUAUUAUUAUUAUAUAUAAAGGCCGAUUCGGGCUUUUUCCAGGCCGAACCACAUGUAGUUCGAGCCAGCGAGCUCCAUUGCCAUCCCUACAAUGUAGUUGCUGAAUAAUAGUUCUCCCAUAUACUUGGAGACUCUUUCACCUAGGAAAAUUAAAAAAUAUAAAUUAAAUUGCUACCGAAACAAUAAGAUGACAAAAUGGUAGAAAAAAAUGAUUAAUUUAUUGAAUAAUUGCAUCACAGAAGAUAAGAGUUAUGGCAUCUUUUUUGCACAAAUAUGGAGCAUUCUGCAUCAGGUGUAGAGCGUAGGGCAAAAUAAUAAUGGUUUAAAUUUGGAAAGCAAAUUGACUACAUAAAUAAAUCACGUGAAAGCUAUCGAUACCUCGCAUAUUUCCUAUUUUCAUCUUCUCACAUUCAUUAAGACAAGCAUAUGAAAUAAUAUUCGGUCAAAGUUCCUCUAUGUUUAAGACGACGUCAUUUGAAUGAACAUAUAUCUACUAUAUUUAUGUACCUUAAUAACCUUGCUUUUAAUUAUCACAAACUUUAAAAAUUUCCAAACCACCAACAAAUGAACUGUGCUUGUGAUGUAAUGAACAACAUAGCACGAUUAUACCUUGUAAAUUAGUAAUUGUACUGAAAAUUAAACUUAUAUCUAACCAAAGAUGAGAACAUAGAAAAGUCAAUGCAGAUGAUGAAUGCAAGAGAGUUAUGUUCAAUGGUACUUCAGGAAAUAUUGGGAAAAUUGCAUAAGGCAAGCAGCAUACUUGAGUGCGCCAGAUAUGCUUGUCCAUUUCAAUUUAUAAUAAAUCAUUUGCCAGGAAAUUCUCACAAAUCCAUUUAAAGUUUUGAAAUAUACCAAUAAUGAGGAUGUCAACAAUAAGUCCAAAAGAUGGAAGUUCAAAACUUAGUAACCAGAAAACCAUCACUACCUUGUUCGAAACCAUUAACAUUGGGAUUGAUGUAACGUUAAGUUCUUAAAGAACUUUGUCCACACCCUCAAUCUGUUGUUCUGCCAGCAAAUGGCAGAAUGACAUAGAAAUAUACUAUAAUAAGUUGAAACGGGAUUGUUAUUCCAUACAUCCAUUGCAAAUGACAUAUCAAUUUGCCCAGCAAAUCAAACCACCAGACAACAAGACACAACUCAAAUAGAACAUAUCCAUAAGUUUUGAAUUGUUUCAGUCAACUCCACAGCCUCCCUUCUACUUCAUUAUCAAGCAAAUAGCAUGGAGACCCCAUACACUUGUAAUGUCACUUGGAAGCAGUAGCAACCAGGCAAAUGGCAGUGUCCCCAAAAUUGUAACCCAAGACCUCAGCGUUAUGAGAUAGUUAAGUAGAAUCCUGGUACCAAUUAUCCCUAAUUUUAGAUUAUAGCUGAUUAGCUGGUGACUAUCAUGAGCACUAGAAUGAUAUGGACUCCAAGGCAUAUCCUUCUAUAGGAAAUUUACAUUACAUAUUUCUUUCUUAUUUGAAGGAGUUCCAACAAAAAAUUUCUAUACGGAUUCGAUAUGUACUAUAAUACACCUAGAUCAGGUCACGUUCUGUCUUUUAAAUCAUAAUAGAAAGACAAUUAAAAAAAUUUCCAUAAAAGCAAAUAUAUCAUUUUUCUACAAUCUUCAGUUUCCUUUCUUCAAUUUUUAGUUUAUUGCAAGAAGUAAUCUCAUUAAAUAUAUAACUUUACAAGGCUCUUAGAGCAUAUACAAGAGACUAUUUAUAAAGAGCAUCUUAUUUAUAAUAAUAAUAAUAAUAAUAAUAAUAAUAAUAAUAAUAAUAAUAAUAAUUUAGAUAUCAAUGAUCAAUCAAUUCAAAUAAGAUUAAAAUAAUUUAAGAAGUGGAGUAUUGAAAUCUGUAACUAAUUAAAUGCAAUAUUUAUAAAGUAAGAAUAGAGAGUGGGUUAGGCUUUUCAAAUUUGGAGUCAAAUUCACUCUCUACUUUAAAAAGUUAAAAUGGAGUCUUGUGAAACUUAUUUUAAAGCAAUGACUCUAUAAAAUAAAGAGUAUCUUAUAUUUAGAAUAUCUAGGAGAUGCUUAGAUGGCC
This 2162-nucleotide long non-coding RNA is filed under the name Olea europaea (common olive). Its description in RNAcentral is "long non-coding RNA (OEUR_LNC008393)". Lineage: Eukaryota; Viridiplantae; Streptophyta; Magnoliopsida; Lamiales; Oleaceae. The record is from RNAcentral.